GACUAAAUUUGUGGCACUUAACGACAUGUGUUUUUGCAUUGUCAGUUACUACUAUCAAAAGAUUAUAAAUUCCUGUCUUUAAGCUUGAGAGAUUCCACUUGUUUGUAGUAAGCACCCCUCUCUUUUUGCAUAUCAACUGGUUAAUAAGUAUGCUGGUUAUCACUCUUUGCUGCAGCACCACAUCACUGUCACAUGGAGAAACAAGCGCGGUGAUCCUCCGCCUGCUCUAAACACCAGAGGGAUAAGCAUUUGGAGGAUUGAAUAAGCCAGCUGCCGGAUGGAAUUCUUGCGCACAUUUUAUCUCUCCUGAAACUUAGAGAAGCAGGAAGAAGCAGUGUGCUUUCACAUAGAUGGAGGGAUUUGUGGAAAUUCACCACCAAUUUGAUCUUUGAUGAAUCAAAAGAGAGAAUGUUGGAACUGCUUGGCUGUGGGGAUGGGGAUAUGGUAGGGCGAGAAAGGUCAAAGUUCUUGGCUUGGGUGAAUCAAGUUUUGAAGUUGCAUUUGGGUCCUUCUUUGGACAAGUUUAGAGUUAGUUUUUACUUGGAUAGCAGGGAUAGCUGCUAUAUUGAUGAAUGGAUAAACUUUGUGAUACCAAAGAGUGUAAAAGUACUUGAGAUUGACUUGCGUCCCAUAGCUGGCACACGCUAUGCGCCUUCGCAUGAGUGUUAUCUCAGCUUGAAAUGCCCAUCUAACUUAUCCAGCAUUAAGUGCCUAACAAGCCUUUCGUUUACGAGG
Long non-coding RNA from Rhododendron vialii, 735 nucleotides. RefSeq lists it as uncharacterized. The record is from RefSeq and is a predicted model, not a curated record. The transcript is spliced from 2 exons. Lineage: Eukaryota; Viridiplantae; Streptophyta; Magnoliopsida; Ericales; Ericaceae.